RNAcentral lists this ribosomal RNA (388 nucleotides) under uncultured bacterium. RNAcentral's name for it is "bacterial SSU rRNA". It matches the Rfam family "Bacterial small subunit ribosomal RNA", at positions 28 to 417 of the family's 1533-position model. The record is from RNAcentral.
GACGAACGCUGGCGGCGUGCUUAACACAUGCAAGUCGAGCGGUAAGGCCCUUUCGGGGGUACACGAGCGGCGAACGGGUGGGUAACGACGUGGGUGACCUGCCCUUAGCUCUGGGAUAAGCCUGGGAAACUGGGUCUAAUACCGGAUAUGACCUCAUGACGCAUGUUGUGGGGUGGAAAGCCUUGUGCGGCUAGGGAUGGGCCCGCGGCCUAUCAGCUUGUUGGUGGGGUGAUGGCCUACCAAGGCGACGACGGGUAGCCGGCCUGAGAGGGCGACCGGCCACACUGGGACUGAGACACGGCCCAGACUCCUACGGGAGGCAGCAGUGGGAAUCUUGCGCAAUGGGCGAAAGCCUGACGCAGCGACGCCGCGUGAGGGAUGACGGCCU